UGUUGGAAGGAAGGUGGGUGAGAUUGUUCUCAUCUGAUAGGGAACAGACUAGUAGUGUGGGAAGGUGGGUGAGAUUGUUCUCAUCUGAUAGGGAACAGACUAGUAGUGUGGGAAGGUGGGUGAGAUUGUUCUCAUCUGAUAGGGAACAGACUAGUAGUGUGGGAAGGUGGGUGAGAUUGUUCUCAUCUGAUAGGGAACAGACUAGUAGUGUUGGAAGGUGGGUGAGAUUGUUCUCAUCUGAUAGGGAACAGACUAGUAGUGUUGGAAGGUGGGUGAGAUUGUUCUCAUCUGAUAGGGAACAGACUAGUAGUGUGGGAAGGUGGGUGAGAUUGUUCUCAUCUGAUAGGGAACAGACUAGUAGUGUGGGAAGGUGGGUGAGAUUGUUCUCAUCUGAUAGGGAACAGACUAGUAGUGUUGGAAGGAAGGUGGGUGAGAUUGUUCUCAUCUGAUAGGGAACAGACUAGUAGUGUUGGAAAGUG
Molecule: long non-coding RNA, 479 nt
Filed under: Salmo salar (Atlantic salmon)
Lineage: Eukaryota; Metazoa; Chordata; Actinopteri; Salmoniformes; Salmonidae
Description: lncRNA (ENSSSAG00000095917.1)
Source: RNAcentral